This 394-nucleotide ribosomal RNA is filed under the name uncultured bacterium. RNAcentral's name for it is "partial 16S ribosomal RNA". It matches the Rfam family "Bacterial small subunit ribosomal RNA", at positions 523 to 918 of the family's 1533-position model. The record is from RNAcentral.
AUACGGAGGAUGCAAGCGUUAUCCGGAUUUAUUGGGUUUAAAGGGUGCGUAGGCGGAUGAUUAAGCGUGAGGUGAAAUGCCACUGCUCAACAGUGGAACUGCCUCGCGAACUGGUUGUCUUGAAUGCUCCUGCCGUGGGAGGAAUGUGUGGUGUAGCGGUGAAAUGCAUAGAGAUCACACAGAACACCGAUUGCGAAGGCAUCUCACGAAGGGGUGAUUGACGCUGAGGCACGAAAGCGUGGGGAUCAAACAGGAUUAGAUACCCUGGUAGUCCACGCAGUAAACGAUGAUAACUAACCGCUGGGUCGUAGUGAUUCAGUGGCCAAGCGAAAGCGAUAAGUUAUCCACCUGGGGAGUACGAGCGCAAGGUUGAAACUCAAAGGAAUUGACGGGG